Molecule: ribosomal RNA, 449 nt
Filed under: uncultured bacterium
Lineage: Bacteria
Description: partial 16S ribosomal RNA
Rfam family: Bacterial small subunit ribosomal RNA
Source: RNAcentral
GUCGAGAAUCUUUCACAAUGGGGGCAACCCUGAUGGAGCGACGCCGCGUGGAGGAUAAGGUCUUCGGAUUGUAAACUCCUGUCAUGCGUGAACAAGGUUGCUUGGUUAAUACCUGGGCAAAUUGAUGGUAACGCAAGAGGAAGAGACGGCUAACUCUGUGCCAGCAGCCGCGGUAAUACAGAGGUCUCAAGCGUUGUUCGGAAUCACUGGGCGUAAAGGGUGCGUAGGUGGCGUGGUAAGUCAGAUGUGAAAGCCCGGGGCUCAACCUCGGAACUGCAUCCGAUACGGCCAUGCUAGAGUACUGGAGAGGUGACUAGAAUUCUCGGUGUAGCAGUGAAAGGCGUAGAUAUCGAGAGGAAUACCAAAGGCGUAGGCAGGUCACUGGACAGUUACUGACACUGAGGCACGAAGGCCAGGGGAGCGAACGGGAUUAGAAACCCGUGUAGUCC